UUCUGGAAAAAUGCUGCUUCAAAUUGAACGUCCACACUUAUCGGUUGUUGGAACAAGCCAGGUGGCCUGCUGAGUGACAGCGGGCUGCAUGGAAUGGGUCUGUAGUCAGCUGGUUAGAGCACUGUGUUGAUAACGCAGGGGUCGUUGUUCGAGCCCAACUAGACCCACCAAGAUUCCAAUAUCUGGUUCGAGGAUCCCGGGGGAUUAGCUCAGCUGGGAGAGCACCUGCUUUGCAAGCAGGGGGUCGUCGGUUCGAUCCCGUCAUCCUCCACCAAAAAUGAUAGCGCCGAAAGGUGCUAUAAUCGUUGGCUCAGCAGAUGUGAAGCGCAAGCGGAUCGGAAGCGGAAAAACCAAAUUCAAUAUAAAAGCAGUCUGCCUCAGACUGCUUUUAUAUUGAUCUUUGAUCAAUAGGCUGUUCUUUAAAAAUUCAUAGAGUCGAAAUCAGCGUUGCUGGUGGAAAGCACAAACCAAGGUUUGUGCACCGUGCCGCCAGCAACAUUUUGAUUGCGUCAAAACAGAUAUUUUGCGAAUGCAAAUUUAUCUAGUAAUGACGAAUAUUCUCUAAGCUGUAUCGAAAGAUGCAGCCAAAGAUAUUCACAUUACGGCAUAACGCGUGAGGUGCAAGACCUCACCAGUCUUUGAACACCAGGCUUUGAUUCUCGCUAAGAGAAUCCAAAGUUAUAGGGUCAAGUGACUAAGAGCAUAUGGUGGAUGCCUUGGCGAUGAUAGGCGACGAAAGACGUGAUAGC
This 749-nucleotide transfer RNA is filed under the name Comamonas testosteroni. The stretch from base 199 to 271 matches the Rfam family "tRNA". Lineage: Bacteria; Pseudomonadati; Pseudomonadota; Betaproteobacteria; Burkholderiales; Comamonadaceae. The record is from RNAcentral.